Molecule: ribosomal RNA, 602 nt
Filed under: Flavobacterium johnsoniae
Lineage: Bacteria; Pseudomonadati; Bacteroidota; Flavobacteriia; Flavobacteriales; Flavobacteriaceae
Description: bacterial SSU rRNA
Rfam family: Bacterial small subunit ribosomal RNA
Source: RNAcentral
CGGCGCACGGGUGCGUAACGCGUAUGCAAUCUGCCUUUCACAGAGGGAUAGCCCAGAGAAAUUUGGAUUAAUACCUCAUAGUAUUAUAGGGUGGCAUCACUUUAUAAUUAAAGUCACAACGGUGAAAGAUGAGCAUGCGUCCCAUUAGCUAGUUGGUAAGGUAACGGCUUACCAAGGCAACGAUGGGUAGGGGUCCUGAGAGGGAGAUCCCCCACACUGGUACUGAGACACGGACCAGACUCCUACGGGAGGCAGCAGUGAGGAAUAUUGGACAAUGGGCGCAAGCCUGAUCCAGCCAUGCCGCGUGCAGGAUGACGGUCCUAUGGAUUGUAAACUGCUUUUGUACGAGAAGAAACACUCCUAUGUAUAGGAGCUUGACGGUAUCGUAAGAAUAAGGAUCGGCUAACUCCGUGCCAGCAGCCGCGGUAAUACGGAGGAUCCAAGCGUUAUCCGGAAUCAUUGGGUUUAAAGGGUCCGUAGGCGGUUUAGUAAGUCAGUGGUGAAAGCCCAUCGCUCAACGGUGGAACGGCCAUUGAUACUGCUGAACUUGAAUUACUGGGAAGUAACUAGAAUAUGUAGUGUAGCGGUGAAAUGCUUAGAUA